AUAAAUUAUCUGACCAAUUUUAUUGCUAAACCUUUGUUCACAUAAUUAAAUAUCUUGUCAUUUAGGAAUUUGACAGUUAACCAGAAGAUUUUUUACAGGGAGCUUUAGAGGAUACAAAACAGAAUGUUGGGUGGCCGUGAUGGUAAGAUACGGUGGCCUGUAAGAACUGUGUUACUCUCACCUCUCUUCAUCUAGACUAGAUUGUGAACUAAUGUUUGUCUGUGUCAUGAUUUAAAGUCUGGGAGUCUUCAGGCUGUAUGGCAGAGGAUGUGCUUGAGGACAAUAAAGACACAAAUGGAUUCUCUGAGCAUGAACUCCUUGACAUCAUGUAUGACACCUGUAAAACUAACAACUCAGAAGUGUUGGCCUCUGCCAUCAUACGACACCUGCAGAGCCUGAUAGAAGAGAGUGCAGAGCAGGAAAAACUUUCUGCCCUCCGAGUCCUGCUUGACCCGCACCACCAGGACCCAGAGGUGAGCAGAGAGACGUUUCAUUCCACCAUGACGGAAUGGAUCGCACAGUGCAGUCACAACAGGUAAAACACAGGAUAUAUUUUAUGAUUAGAAGUGUUGUAUAAUCUGAAUAUU
This 587-nucleotide long non-coding RNA is filed under the name Oryzias sinensis (Chinese medaka). Its description in RNAcentral is "lncRNA (ENSOSIG00000011612.1)". Lineage: Eukaryota; Metazoa; Chordata; Actinopteri; Beloniformes; Adrianichthyidae. The record is from RNAcentral.